AGCGCAAUCAAAACGCGAAAGGGGAGACAACGGGAAAGCACUCCUGGACCCCACUCUUCAAUUUUACACAACCACACCAUCAAACCCUGCUUAAAAUCUAGCGAGACUCACAGAGAGAGACAGCGAGAGAGAGAGAGAUUCUAAUUCGAGAGAGAGAGAGAGAGAGAGAGCGUCACCGCCUCUCCCCCCUUUUUUCAUAUUUCCCUCUCUCCCAAACCCCUUCCCUCUCACAAACACACACAUAAAUCUCGCUUUCAUUACACGCCUCUAUUGACACGAUGGCGUGGACAGAGCAGGAUGUUGGUAGUGGCAAAGAGAAGGAAGUUAUUGGGGAUAAUGGGUACUUGCAAGAAGGGAAACUGUCUCCCGCUGCCAAAGAAACCACCCGGGGUUGCACCAGUCCUGUUGAAAAUGCUUUUGAUGGCAAGGAUGCACUCUCUUAUGCCAACAUUCUUCGCUCUAGGAAUAAAUUUGUUGAUGCACUUGCCAUUUAUGAGAGCAUUGUGGAAAAAGAUGGUGGAAAUGUUGAAGCCUAUAUUGGCAAAGGAAUUUGCCUGCAGGCGCAAAAUAUGUUAAGGCCUGCUUUCGAGAGUUUUUCGGAAGCUAUUAAGCUGGAUCCAGAAAAUUCUUGUGCCCUCACUCAUUGUGGGAUUUUGUACAAAGACGAAGGUCGACUGGUCGAGGCUGCUGAGUCGUAUGAGAAGGCUUUGAAAGCAGAUUCUGGCUACAAACCUGCAGCAGAGUGCUUAGCAGUAGUGCUAACAGAUCUUGGUACCAGCCUAAAGCUUGCUGGCAACACCCAGGAGGGUAUCCAAAAGUAUUAUGAAGCUAUCAAGAUUGAUCAACAUUAUGCACCUGCAUAUUAUAAUCUUGGAGUUGUUUAUUCCGAGAUGAUGCAGUAUGACAUGGCACUUAAUUUUUACGAGAAAGCUGCACUGGAAAGGCCCAUGUAUGCGGAAGCAUAUUGCAAUAUGGGGGUUAUCUAUAAGAAUCGUGGAGAGUUGGAGUCUGCUAUCACUUGUUAUGAGAGGUGUCUGGCUGUUUCUCCAAACUUUGAGAUUGCAAAAAAUAAUAUGGCCAUUGCUUUGACAGAUUUAGGGACAAAGGUAAAAUUAGAGGGCGAUAUUAACCAAGGCGUGGCAUAUUACAAAAAAGCUCUGUACUAUAACUGGCAUUAUGCCGAUGCCAUGUACAAUCUAGGGGUUGCAUAUGGUGAAAUGUUGAAGUUCGACAUGGCAAUUGUGUUCUACGAACUUGCUUUCCACUUUAACCCUCACUGUGCGGAGGCAUGCAACAAUUUAGGUGUCAUAUAUAAAGACCGUGACAAUCUUGAUAAAGCUGUCGAAUGUUAUCAGCUGGCAUUAUCAAUCAAGCCGAACUUUUCUCAAUCAUUAAAUAAUCUUGGGGUAGUUUUUACUGUCCAGGGUAAAAUGGAUGCUGCUGCGAGCAUGAUAGAAAAAGCUAUUGUUGCGAACCCAACAUAUGCGGAAGCUUAUAAUAACUUAGGGGUGCUGUAUAGAGAUGCUGGUGAUAUAACUUUGGCUAUUGAAGCUUACGAGCAGUGCCUUAAGAUAGAUCCUGAUUCUCGUAAUGCAGGGCAGAAUCGAUUACUUGCAAUGAACUACAUACAUGAGGGAACUGAUGAUAAACUCUUUGAAGCUCACAGAGAUUGGGGUAGGCGUUUCAUGAAGUUAUAUCAGCAGUAUACAUCUUGGGAUAACCCCAAAGAUCCAGAAAGGCCACUUGUUAUUGGAUAUGUAUCUCCAGAUUAUUUUACUCAUUCUGUAUCAUAUUUUAUCGAGGUUCCCCUUAUUUUUCAUGACUAUGCCAACUACAAGGUGGUUGUUUAUUCAGCAGUUGUGAAGGCUGAUGCGAAAACCAAUAGAUUUAGAGACAGAGUCUUGAGGAAGGGAGGGAUAUGGAGAGAUAUCUACGGGAUUGAUGAGAAGAAAGUCGCAAGCAUGGUUAGAGAAGACAAGGUUGACAUCUUGGUAGAAUUAACUGGUCACACUGCAAAUAAUAAGUUGGGAAUGUUGGCUUGCAAACCUGCACCUGUUCAGGUUACCUGGAUUGGAUACCCAAAUACAACUGGUUUGCCGACCAUAGAUUACAGAAUAUCUGAUCCGCUGGCUGAUCCUCCUAAUACGAAACAGAUGCAUGUGGAAGAGUUGGUCCGGUUACCAGAAUGCUUUCUUUGUUAUACACCGUCUCCUGAAGCUGGACCCCUGACUCAGACUCCUGCUCUUUCCAAUGGAUUCAUCACAUUUGGAAGCUUUAACAAUCUAGCAAAGGUACAAAUCAGAUAACACCCAAAGUAUUGCAAGUUUGGGCAAGAAUUCUAUGCGCGGUUCCAAAUUCACGUCUUGUUGUGAAGUGUAAGCCUUUUUGUUGUGAUAAUGUGAGACAGAGAUUUCUUUCGACCUUGGAGCAAUUAGGAUUGGAAUCACUGCGAGUUGACCUUUUGCCUCUCAUCCUCUUCAAUCAUGAUCAUAUGCAAGCCUAUGCUCUUAUGGAUAUCAGCUUGGAUACUUUUCCAUAUGCGGGAACCACAACUACCUGUGAAUCUUUGUACAUGGGAGUUCCUUGUGUCACUAUGGGAGGUUCAGUACAUGCCAACAAUGUUGGCGUGAGUCUCCUCAAUGCAGUCGGACUAGGACAUCUGGUUGCAAGAACUGAAGAUGAAUAUGUCGAACUGGCACUGCAGUUGGCCUCCGAUGUUGCGGCUCUCUCAAAUCUGAGACUGGGUCUGCGAGAUCUGAUGGCCAACUCCCCUCUCUGUGAUGGAGCUAAAUUUUGCAGUGGUUUAGAGUCGGCAUACAGGAAUAUGUGGAGCAGGUAUUGCAAGGGUGAUGUGCCAUAUUUAAAGCGAAUGGAGCUUUUGCAGCAGCAGGCGCCUCAGGAACAAAUUGCUUCCAAGGAGUCUGCAGUCGAAGUAUUAUCAGAAUCAACAAAGUUCACAAUCUCCAAAGGUUCUUCUCCCGAGCCUACCAUGGCAAAUGGAUUUAAUACAGGCCCCUCUUUACUAAAGCCUUCCGCUAGUGAACAAAAUGCAAUAAGUCUACCAACCUAAUAUGUGAGGUCUGUGUAAUUUUAAGGUUCACAUGUUAAGUAAGUAGGGUAUUGUUCUCAGUUAUUCAAGCUUGUAAUAUAUGCUGGCGUUUGAAUAUGGUGGCAACCACCUCUUAUUAGGUUCAUUUUUUAUGGGAAAGAGGGCUGGUUAUACUUCAAAUCUCCAAUUAAUCUGGUAGGAAAAGAGUUGGGUGUUUUCACCAAGUAAUAUAUACGGGAUUGGAUUUUUCGUGUUGCAUCUCUUUCCCUUAUAGUCCAAGACAGAUGGUUUGUUAUAUAUAUACAAGGAUCCGUUUUAUACACCA
Molecule: RNA transcript, 3374 nt
Organism: Daucus carota subsp. sativus
Lineage: Eukaryota; Viridiplantae; Streptophyta; Magnoliopsida; Apiales; Apiaceae
Gene name: probable UDP-N-acetylglucosamine--peptide N-acetylglucosaminyltransferase SPINDLY
Exons: 18
Source: RefSeq, a predicted model, not a curated record